AUUGAACGCUGGCGGCAGGCCUAACACAUGCAAGUCGAGCGGAGCGGCGGACGGGGGAGUAAUGCUUAGGAAUCGGACUGGUAGUGGGGGAUAACGUCCGGAAACGGGCGCUAAUACUGCAUACUAUCAGAUGAGCCUAGGUCGGAUUAGCUAGUUGGUGGGGUAAAGGCCUACCAAGGCGACGAUCCGUAACUGGUCUGAGAGGAUGAUCAGUAACACUGGAACGGAGACACGGUCCAGACUCCUACGGGAGUCAGCAGUGGGGAAUAUUGGACAAUGGGCGAAAGCCUGAUGCAGCCAUGCCGCGUGUGGGAAGAAGGUCUUCGGAUUGUAAAGUACUUUAAGUUGGGAGGCGUUACCAGCAGAAUAAGCACCGGCUAACUUCGUGCCAGCAGCCGCGGUAAUAC
This 407-nucleotide ribosomal RNA is filed under the name uncultured bacterium. Its description in RNAcentral is "partial 16S ribosomal RNA". It matches the Rfam family "Bacterial small subunit ribosomal RNA", at positions 30 to 526 of the family's 1533-position model. The record is from RNAcentral.